This 253-nucleotide ribosomal RNA is filed under the name uncultured bacterium. RNAcentral describes it as "partial 16S ribosomal RNA". It matches the Rfam family "Bacterial small subunit ribosomal RNA", at positions 524 to 776 of the family's 1533-position model. The record is from RNAcentral.
GACAGAGGAGGCAAGCGUUGUCCGGAAUUACUGGGCGUAAAGCGUGCGUAGACGGUUAUUUAAGUCGGGUGUGAAAGCCCCGGGCUCAACCUGGGAAUUGCAUUCGAGACUGAAUAGCUAGGGUACGGUAGAGGGAAGUGGAAUUUCCGGUGUAGCGGUGAAAUGCGUAGAUAUCGGAAGGAACAUCAGUGGCGAAAGCGACUUCCUGGACCAGUACCGACGUUCAGGCACGAAAGCGUGGGGAGCAAACAGG